GCCAGGCGUGGUGGUGCGUGCCUGUAAUCCCAGCUACUUGGGAGGCUGAGGCAGGAUAAUCACUUGAGCUCAGGAGGUGGAGGUUGCAGUGAGCCGAGAUUGUGCCACUGCACUCCAGCCUGGGCAACAGAGUGAGACUCUGUCUUUA
Molecule: unclassified non-coding RNA, 148 nt
Organism: Pongo abelii (Sumatran orangutan)
Lineage: Eukaryota; Metazoa; Chordata; Mammalia; Primates; Hominidae
Rfam family: Metazoan signal recognition particle RNA
About the family: The signal recognition particle (SRP) is a universally conserved ribonucleoprotein. It is involved in the co-translational targeting of proteins to membranes. The eukaryotic SRP consists of a 300-nucleotide 7S RNA and six proteins: SRPs 72, 68, 54, 19, 14, and 9.
Source: Ensembl